CAAUAUAAUAUAUGGGAUGACAAUUUAAGAUUGCCCUUAUAUAGUUCCGCUGGUAUGGUUUGGGUCCUGCGCAAUGAGACACCGUGAACCUUGUCAGGUCCGGAAGGAAGCAGCAAUAAGCGGAGGUUCUUAUGUGCCGCAGAUAAGCCUUCUCCAACGCCUGCGGAACUAUACAAGGGCAAUUUUGUUUUUUUAUACGG
This 200-nucleotide signal recognition particle RNA is filed under the name Bacillota bacterium. RNAcentral describes it as "signal recognition particle sRNA large type". The stretch from base 58 to 157 matches the Rfam family "Bacterial small signal recognition particle RNA". Rfam says of the family: The signal recognition particle (SRP) is a universally conserved ribonucleoprotein involved in the co-translational targeting of proteins to membranes. Archaeal SRP consists of a 7S RNA and homologues of the eukaryotic SRP19 and SRP54 proteins. Lineage: Bacteria; Bacillati; Bacillota. The record is from RNAcentral.